Molecule: ribosomal RNA, 468 nt
Filed under: uncultured bacterium
Lineage: Bacteria
Description: partial 16S ribosomal RNA
Rfam family: Bacterial small subunit ribosomal RNA
Source: RNAcentral
GACGAACGCUGGCGGCGUGCUUAACACAUGCAAGUCGAACGGAAAGGCCCUGCUUUUGUGGGGUGCUCGAGUGGCGAACGGGUGAGUAACACGUGAGUAACCUGCCCUUGACUUUGGGAUAACUUCAGGAAACUGGGGCUAAUACCGGAUAGGAGCUCCUGCUGCAUGGUGGGGGUUGGAAAGUUUCGGCGGUUGGGGAUGGACUCGCGGCUUAUCAGCUUGUUGGUGGGGUAGUGGCUUACCAAGGCUUUGACGGGUAGCCGGCCUGAGAGGGUGACCGGCCACAUUGGGACUGAGAUACGGCCGAGACUCCUGCGGGAGGCAGAAGUGGGGAAUAUUGCACAAUGGGCGGAAGCCUGAGGCAGCAACGCCGCGUGCGGGAUGACGGCCUUCGGGUUGUAAACCGCUUUCGCCUGUGACGAAGCGUGAGUGACGGUAAUGGGUAAAGAAGCACCGGCUAACUACGUG